RNAcentral lists this transfer RNA (68 nucleotides) under Triturus macedonicus (Macedonian crested newt). RNAcentral describes it as "tRNA-Thr". It matches the Rfam family "tRNA". From Rfam's summary of the family: Transfer RNA (tRNA) molecules are approximately 80 nucleotides in length. Their secondary structure includes four short double-helical elements and three loops (D, anti-codon, and T loops). The record is from RNAcentral. Lineage: Eukaryota; Metazoa; Chordata; Amphibia; Caudata; Salamandridae.
GCCAAGAUAGUUUAAACAAAACAUCGGUCUUGUAAGCCGAAGCCGAGGACUAGACCCCUCUCUGGGCA